GAUGAACGCUGGCGGCGUGCCUAAUACAUGCAAGUCGAACGAAUCUUCUUCGGAAGAUGAGUGGCGAACGGGUGAGUAAUACAUAGGUAACCUGCCCCUGUGCGGGGGAUAACAGGAGGAAACUCCUGCUAAUACCGCAUAGCCAUGAACACCGCAUGGAGCUCAUGCCAAAUAUCCUUUCGGGGAUAGCGCAGGGAUGGACCUAUGGCGCAUUAGCUGGUUGGCGGGGCAACGGCCCACCAAGGCAACGAUGCGUAGCCGGCCUGAGAGAGCGGACGGCCACAUUGGGACUGAGACACGGCCCAGACUCCUACGGGAGGCAGCAGUAGGGAAUUUUCGGCAAUGGGGGAAACCCUGACCGAGCAACGCCGCGUGAGCGAAGAAGGCCUUCGGGUCGUAAAGCUCUGUUGUAAAGGAAGAACGGCGCAUACAGGAAAUGGUAUGCGAGUGACGGAACUUUACCAGAAAGCCACGGCUAACUACGUGCCAGCCGCCGCAGUAA
RNAcentral lists this ribosomal RNA (502 nucleotides) under uncultured bacterium. RNAcentral describes it as "partial 16S ribosomal RNA". It matches the Rfam family "Bacterial small subunit ribosomal RNA", at positions 28 to 523 of the family's 1533-position model. The record is from RNAcentral.